CUUCGGACUUAGUGGCGGACGGGUGAGUAACACGUGGGAACGUGCCUUUAGGUUCGGAAUAACUCAGGGAAACUUGUGCUAAUACCGAAUGUGCCCUUCGGGGGAAAGAUUUAUCGCCUUUAGAGCGGCCCGCGUCUGAUUAGCUAGUUGGUGGGGUAAUGGCCCACCAAGGCUACGAUCAGUAGCUGGUCUGAGAGGAUGACCAGCCACAUUGGGACUGAGACACGGCCCAAACUCCUACGGGAGGCAGCAGUGGGGAAUCUUGCGCAAUGGGCGAAAGCCUGACGCAGCCAUGCCGCGUGGAUGAUGAAGGUCUUAGGAUUGUAAAAUCCUUUCACCGGUGAGGAUAAUGACUGUAGCCGGAGAAGAAGCCCCGGCUAACUUCGUGCCAGCAGCCGCGGUAAUACGAAGGGGGCUAGCGUUGCUCGGAAUUACUGGGCGUAAAGGGAGCGUAGGCGGACAUUUAAGUCAGGGGUGAAAUCCCGAGGCUCAACCUCGGAACUGCCUUUGAUACUGGGUGUCUUGAGUGUGAGAGAGGUAUGUGGAACUCCGAGUGUAGAGGUGAAAUUCGUAGAUAUUCGGAAGAACACCAGUGGCGAAGGCGACAUACUGGCUCAUUACUGACGCUGAGGCUCGAAAGCGUGGGGAGCAAACAGGAUUAGAUACCCUAGUAGUCCACGCCGUAAACGAUGAAUGCUAGUUGUCGGGGCGCUUGCGCUUCGGUGACGCAGCU
RNAcentral lists this ribosomal RNA (733 nucleotides) under uncultured bacterium. Its description in RNAcentral is "SSU rRNA". It matches the Rfam family "Bacterial small subunit ribosomal RNA", at positions 84 to 853 of the family's 1533-position model. The record is from RNAcentral.